Heterocephalus glaber (naked mole-rat) is the source of this 345-nucleotide non-coding RNA. Lineage: Eukaryota; Metazoa; Chordata; Mammalia; Rodentia; Bathyergidae. The record is from RefSeq and is a predicted model, not a curated record.
AACGUGACCACUGAGGCAGAGAGAGAUUUGAGGACAUUGACACUGAAAAUUACAGUGAUGCAGUCACAGGCCACAGAGCACCAGCAACCCCCAGAAGCUGGAAGAGGACGGAGAGACUCCAUAGGACUUUCUUAUAUGACUUACUCUGAAGAAAUGGAAAAACAAUCACAUUUCUCUGGCUUCUCAUAAAUUCUUGGAGGUUGUACACAGAGCCCUAAAUCGUGGCCCUCUAGGUAUUGUCCUAGGCAUUGCAGACAGAACAAGGGACCAAACAAAGCUACCUCCUUUGAUUCCCUCAUGGCACUUACUCUGCAGUGUGGGGAAAUAGACAACUGAAAAACAGAG